Molecule: small nucleolar RNA, 82 nt
Organism: Malus domestica (apple)
Lineage: Eukaryota; Viridiplantae; Streptophyta; Magnoliopsida; Rosales; Rosaceae
Source: RefSeq, a predicted model, not a curated record
GAGCCUAUGAGGAUUGUUAUUUUAGUUGGAAUUACCGACUGAAUUUUAUUGAUGUCAAAUAACUGGCUUUCUGAGGCUUAAA